CCUACGGGAGGCAGCAGUGGGGAAUAUUGCACAAUGGGGGAAACCCUGAUGCAGCGACGCCGCGUGAGUGAAGAAGUAAUUCGUUAUGUAAAGCUCUAUCAGCAGGGAAGAAAAUGACGGUACCUGAGUAAGAAGCCUCGGCUAACUACGUGCCAGCAGCCGCGGUAAUACGUAGGGGGCAAGCGUUAUCCGGAUUUACUGGGUGUAAAGGGAGCGUAGACGGCAUUGCAAGUCUGGAGUGAAAGGCGGGGGCUUAACCCCCGGACUGCUCUGGAAACUGUACGGCUGGAGUGCAGGAGAGGUAAGUGGAAUUCCUAGUGUAGCGGUGAAAUGCGUAGAUAUUAGGAGGAACACCAGUGGCGAAGGCGGCUUACUGGACUGUAACUGACGUUGAGGCUCGAAAGCGUGGGUAGCAAACAGGAUUAGAUACCCUAGUAGUC
Molecule: ribosomal RNA, 440 nt
Filed under: uncultured bacterium
Lineage: Bacteria
Description: partial 16S ribosomal RNA
Rfam family: Bacterial small subunit ribosomal RNA
Source: RNAcentral